AGUGAACGCUGGCGGUAGGCCUAACACAUGCAAGUCGAGCGGCAGCACAGUAAGAGCUUGCUCUUACGGGUGGCGAGUGGCGGACGGGUGAGGAAUACAUCGGAAUCUACUUUUUCGUGGGGGAUAACGUAGGGAAACUUACGCUAAUACCGCAUACGACCUACGGGUGAAAGCAGGGGAUCUUCGGACCUUGCGCGAUUGAAUGAGCCGAUGUCGGAUUAGCUAGUUGGCGGGGUAAAGGCCCACCAAGGCGACGAUCCGUAGCUGGUCUGAGAGGAUGAUCAGCCACACUGGAACUGAGACACGGUCCAGACUCCUACGGGAGGCAGCAGUGUGGAAUAUUGGACAAUGGGCGCAAGCCUGAUCCAGCCAUACCGCGUGGGUGAAGAAGGCCUUCGGGUUGUAAAGCCCUUUUGUUGGGAAAGAAAAGCAGCAGGUUAAUACCCCGCUGUUCUGACGGUACCCAAAGAAUAAGCACCGGCUAACUUCGUG
Molecule: ribosomal RNA, 492 nt
Filed under: uncultured bacterium
Lineage: Bacteria
Description: partial 16S ribosomal RNA
Rfam family: Bacterial small subunit ribosomal RNA
Source: RNAcentral